GGCAGCCACUGUCCGGUGUGGUCGCAGAAUAUAAAAUCCAACUAUUUGCCACUGGCAUCGCAUUGUUGGUCUUGUUGCCGGGUGUGCAAUGGAGCGUGUGUAUUCAAAUGCGAUGGCCCCGCAGCGACGACGCUUUCUUUGUGUCUCUUCGGUAUUUAAUCAAAAAUCGAAAAAGAGAGGAGCAGAAAAAAAACACACACAGACCGUGGAAUACAAAAAACGAGACGAGCACACAAAAAUAGCGACAAAUCAACCGAAAAUUAUAAAAGAAAAGAAAGAACUCGACAAAUCGAUUGUGGAAUCAAUGCAAUAAAUUAACUUGAAUUUGGUUUUCGCUUUGCCAGCCGAUUUCGAUAAAAUAAAAAUAAACCAAAAAAAAAACAAACAGAGGAAAAAACACAAGAAGAAAUAAAUGAAAUAUCGUAAAACAAAAGGCCCAGCGGGCCAACCGGUGGAAGCCCAUUCCGAGCCCGAAUCCGAAUCCGAGCUCCACAUCACGCCAUGAAAUAUGACCAGAAUUUGGCCAGGUUGCCGUUGCCGUUGCCGAGCAGCCCAAAAAAGAAAAAAGAAGAAACCUUUACCUGUCUGUCCACCAGCGGCCGCUUGUAAAUGAAAUCCUUUUUGGGCGAGUAGAGCUCCGGCGGUAUGCCUUUGUAGGAGUACCGCAGGCCGGCAUCCUCAAGGUCGUUCGGUGCCAGUGUCCCACGCAGACAGCUCUCGACAUCGUUCGCAUCUUCGAACGGCUCCUCCUCCGGACCCGCCUCCGUCUCCGGCGAGUCGCAGAUCGUGGUGCUGUUCGUCUGGUUGCUGCGGCCCGAUGUCGUCGAUCGGAGAGUGGCGCUCCCACAGUCAUGCGCAUAGUCGUCCAGAGCGCCUGCGCGACCGUUCAGCAGCGAUACGCAUCGCUCGGGCUCUGUCGCACUUGUCAUCGACAUGUUGGAUGCGGAAGAGCUAUCUAGAUAUCGAUCGGUGGCAGCACGUGCAAAAAUGCGCGCGAAAUCGGGCUCAGGUUCGUUGCCACGCACGUUGCGUAUGUGUGUGGUUCCGUUCCGUUCCGUUCCAGACCGUUAACGUUGCUGUUGCUGUUGCUGUUGACGUCGACGCCGCACGCGCACUCACGCACCCGC
Long non-coding RNA from Drosophila miranda, 1127 nucleotides. RefSeq lists it as uncharacterized. The record is from RefSeq and is a predicted model, not a curated record. The transcript is spliced from 3 exons. Lineage: Eukaryota; Metazoa; Arthropoda; Insecta; Diptera; Drosophilidae.